This is a non-coding RNA of Paramuricea clavata, 427 nucleotides long. The record is from the annotation of a GenBank genome assembly. NCBI's taxonomy places the organism in Eukaryota, Metazoa, Cnidaria, Anthozoa, Malacalcyonacea, Plexauridae.
CCCCCCCCCGUCGCGCACCACUAAAUAUCCUCUACUAUCCCUACAAAUCCUAUAUAAUUCAGACUCUGCGGAGGAGAGUGGAUCGAAGGUUAGACAAUGAUCUCGACUUCAGCGUUUAUCAGGUUUUGGCUGCCGGUUGAUGCAGCGUACGAAGAAAUAAAUGAGAUCGAAGGAACAAGGACAUGAUUCACAUGAACAAUCGUAUAGAAAUCCUUUCUUUGAAGUUUGUAUAAACCAGCAAGUAUUUGCAAGCAUUGCUACAAUAUAAAGGCCUUUAGCUUUGCUCUAAACACCGAGAAGCAUUCAACUAUUUUACUUUAUUUAUACCAUUAAGGCUUGGAUAUUUAUACUUUAUUAUGUACAAUAUACAUAGUUCAACAGCGUUCUUAUUCAUGUUUAGGAUGUACAAUUUUGUAAAAGCCUUUCU